GCCCUUGUAGCACAGUGGUAGUGCAACCGCCUUGUAAGCGGUAGGUCGUCUGUUCGAACCAGACCGAGGGCACCA
Molecule: transfer RNA, 75 nt
Filed under: Streptococcus pneumoniae
Lineage: Bacteria; Bacillati; Bacillota; Bacilli; Lactobacillales; Streptococcaceae
Description: tRNA-Thr
Rfam family: tRNA
About the family: Transfer RNA (tRNA) molecules are approximately 80 nucleotides in length.
Source: RNAcentral